CGGCGGCGGAGAUGCGGACUUUCUCUGCUUCUCCGCGGUGGGCUCUGCGGUGCUGAUGCUGGGAGGGGGUUGCCGGGGUGCGGCGUUUGUCAGCCAGAGGCCGGGAGGACGACGCGGGGGUGGGCAGACAGAGAAGGGCGGGCAGGAGCCAAGCGGCGAGCUCCAGUGACCGGCGUGCCCGUGGCUUCGGUGUUCCCGCCUCGAGGACCCGGGAGUUCGGUCCCGGAGCCCCUCGGGGGCAGGCGUGGAGGGGAGCCUGGCCGGCGGGCGGGGCCAGGGCCGCCCUCAGUAGACUCAGAUGACCUGUAUCUUCAAAAGAUGGGGCGUCUUCCCUAAGGACGGGGGAGAGCAUUUAUCGAGGACCUAUCAUGCCAGACGGCUGGGGAUGCAGUGUCACUAAGAGAGACGUGGUCCCAUCCUUGUGAAACUUACAAUCUAGCAGGGAAGACACACAAUGAAGAUGUAAUGAGAAGCUCACUGAGUGCUACACAUGCCGACUCCCAGUAAAUAAUAAUAAUUAAUAUAAACACCUAUAGAAUGAAUAAGUGAAUGGUUGAGUAACUGUGUGAAUAAUAACCCCUUCUCCACAAUUUUUCCCCCUCUCUGCUUUAUAUUACAUUUAGCCUAAAAUAUAACGUUUUUUAUGGUCCC
RNAcentral lists this long non-coding RNA (651 nucleotides) under Equus caballus (horse). RNAcentral's name for it is "lncRNA (ENSECAG00000051880.1)". The record is from RNAcentral. Lineage: Eukaryota; Metazoa; Chordata; Mammalia; Perissodactyla; Equidae.